GGUCCUUUUGACUUUGGGGAGGAGCCAGAAGUUGCCUGGUGCCAGAUCUGGUGAUUAAGGCGGCUGGGGACACAGCAUCAUGUUUGUAUUUGACAGACAUUGCCAUAAAUGACUUGAAUUGAUUCAGGACAUCAAGGCAGCCCCGAGAAUGCAACCAAAGAUACUCACAAAAGAGAACUUCAGAACUGCUUCAGAAGCGGAAGGAAUGAUAGGGAUUGUGGGUGAUCAUCUUCCAAAAGCAAGAGGUUAUGGAGUGGAUUCCAUCUGCAGAGGAGGAGGAGAAAAAGGCAGUGGACUCUCUCACUUCAAAUGCGAUUAGAGAGAUGUGUAAAAUGUGGGAAACAGUGCAAAAUUUU
RNAcentral lists this long non-coding RNA (356 nucleotides) under Heterocephalus glaber (naked mole-rat). Its description in RNAcentral is "lncRNA (ENSHGLG00100044970.1)". The record is from RNAcentral. Lineage: Eukaryota; Metazoa; Chordata; Mammalia; Rodentia; Bathyergidae.